AGUGAACGCUGGCGGUAGGCCUAACACAUGCAAGUCGAACGGCAGCGCAGUAAGAGCUUGCUCUUACGGGUGGCGAGUGGCGGACGGGUGAGGAAUACAUCGAAUUCUCUUUUUUCUUGGGGGUUAACGUAGGGAAACUUACGUUAUUACCGCUUCCGCCCUACGGUUGAAAGCAGGGGGUCUUCGAACUUUGCGCGUUUGAUUGAGCCGAUGUCGGAUUAGCUAGUUGGCGGGGUAAAGGCCCACCAAGGCGACGAUCCGUAGCUGGUCUGAGAGGAUGAUCAGCCACACUGGAACUGAGACACGGUCCAGACUCCUACGGGAGGCAGCAGUGGGGAAUAUUGGACAAUGGGCGCAAGCCUGAUCCAGCCAUACCGCGUGGGUGAAGAAGGCCUUCGGGUUGUAAAGCCCUUUUGUUGGGAAAGAAAAGCAGCAGGUUAAUACCCCGCUGUUCUGACGGUACCCAAAGAAUAAGCACCGGCUAACUUCGUG
Molecule: ribosomal RNA, 492 nt
Filed under: uncultured bacterium
Lineage: Bacteria
Description: partial 16S ribosomal RNA
Rfam family: Bacterial small subunit ribosomal RNA
Source: RNAcentral